RNAcentral lists this long non-coding RNA (256 nucleotides) under Lathyrus oleraceus (garden pea). Its description in RNAcentral is "Pisum sativum (pea) long non-coding RNA (PSAT_LNC023531)". The record is from RNAcentral. Lineage: Eukaryota; Viridiplantae; Streptophyta; Magnoliopsida; Fabales; Fabaceae.
UUCACAAUGGCGAUCACAAGUCAUCGUCAGGCGACUGGGGUUCAAAUGGAGAAUGGGGUUCAUUAUUGGCAAACAAGAUGCCGGGGUUCAAAUGCGGUGAUCCGGGAUCAUUCGCGCGAAAGAAAAUUUGUCCGGGGUUCAAGAAAAGAAAAAAGGAAAUCGUAAAGUUCCGAGGUUCAAGAAAAGCAAAAAAAAAAGAAAAAUAAUAAUCCUGUCGCAUCCGCGAAAAAAACAACCGGCGGGCUAAAACAAAAAC